RNAcentral lists this unclassified non-coding RNA (388 nucleotides) under Hevea brasiliensis (rubber tree). Lineage: Eukaryota; Viridiplantae; Streptophyta; Magnoliopsida; Malpighiales; Euphorbiaceae. The record is from RNAcentral.
UAAUUUUCUUGGGGCCCUUAGUCUCCUUCGGUUUUUGCUAGCUAGCUUGUGGCCCCAUCUGGGCAGGGGAAGUAAUUCAUCCUUUGUUCAGAAGUGGAUUCACUAGAUCCUUUCUCCGAGGUAUCUAUGGGGAAACAAUCUUGAGUCGGCGAGCUCUUUUGUUCUUGUAUGGCAUGCGGUUUAGCUGCUUCUGGUGGUGGUUGCUCGUGGGGUGCAAUCUGAAAGUUUAGCCCGGAAGGCGCGAAUGAGACGCCGAAGAACCUCACUAUUGCAAUCUUUUGCUUUCUUGGUGCCGGUGUGAUGUUUCCAUGGCUUUUCGAAGGCGGCCAGUGGCUUCCCUUUGUGGGUUUUGGUACCUAGGAUGGGGUAUUUCUUCUCUGUAACAGGC